GACGAACGCUGGCGGCGUGCUUAACACAUGCAAGUCGAACGAUGAAGAAGAGAAACGCGAACUUCGGUUCAAAUUUCACUUCGGAUUAGUGGCAGACGGGUGAGUAACGCGUGAGCAACCUACCUCUUACAAAGGGAUAGCCUCGGGAAACCGUGAUUAAUACCAUAUGACACAUUCAUAAGGCAUCUUAAGAAUGUUAAAGCUACGGCGGUAAGAGAUGGGCUCGCGUCCCAUUAGCUAGUUGGUGAGGUAACGGCCCACCAAGGCGACGAUGGGUAACCGGCCUGAGAGGGUGACCGGUCACAAUGGAACUGAGACACGGUCCAAACUCCUACGGGAGGCAGCAGUGGGGAAUAUUGCACAAUGGAGGGAACUCUGAUGCAGCGACGCCGCGUGAGCGAUGAAGGAAUUCGUAUCGUAAAGCUCUGUUCUAUGGGAAGAAAAGGACUGUACCAUAGGAGAAAGCCCCGGCUAAAUACGUG
This 482-nucleotide ribosomal RNA is filed under the name uncultured bacterium. RNAcentral describes it as "partial 16S ribosomal RNA". It matches the Rfam family "Bacterial small subunit ribosomal RNA", at positions 28 to 507 of the family's 1533-position model. The record is from RNAcentral.